RNAcentral lists this ribosomal RNA (254 nucleotides) under uncultured bacterium. RNAcentral's name for it is "partial 16S ribosomal RNA". It matches the Rfam family "Bacterial small subunit ribosomal RNA", at positions 524 to 776 of the family's 1533-position model. The record is from RNAcentral.
UACGUAGGGUGCAAGCGUUGUCCGGAUUUAUUGGGCGUAAAGAGCUCGUAGGCGGUUCGCUAAGUCGGGUGUGAAACCUCCAGGCUCAACCUGGAGACGCCACCUGAUACUGGUGUGACUAGAGUUCGGUAGGGGAGUGUGGAACUCCUGGUGUAGCGGUGAAAUGCGCAGAUAUCAGGAAGAACACCAGCGGCGAAGGCGGCACUCUGGGCCGGUACUGACGCUGAGGAGCGAAAGCGUGGGUAGCAAACAGG